AAAAAGGAAUGGAACAUAAUAGCUCUGUAGCCUCUCAAAGAAAAGUACAGAUGUCUCCGUACCGAUCCGUAAGACUCUACUUAACUCGCUUAUGACUUGUAGCACCUAUGAACCUAGAGCUCUGAUACCAACUUGUCACGAUCCAAUUUUCCCUACGUUGGGUUUCGUGAUGGCAUCUAGUCUUAGGGACUAGGUAAGCCUAGCAAUUUCUGAAUAUCAACAAUAAGGAAAAUCCAACAGUCUUAAUAUAAUCUUUACAAAUUUAUAGUCUUCCCAAAAUUGGUAGUACAAGUCAUAAGCUCUACAAAGUUUCACUACAACUUCUAAACCAAUCGUAUGGAAAUAAGUACAACAGUGUGAAUAUAAAAUAGGAAGGUGACUCCGAGGCCUGCGAACAUAGCAACAGGAUUACCUUGAGUCUCCACCGGAAGGACCCGCACAACUACUAUCGAUCAAAUACCUGUAUCUGUACACAAAAAUAUACAGAAGUAUAGUAUGAGCACACCAUAGCAGUGCCCAGUAUGUAUCAAGACUAACCUCGGUAGAGUAGGGACGAGGAACAGUCAAGGCACCUACUGGUCAAAUAAAUUGAACAUGAUAUAGCGAUAAACUAUUGGAAUACGAUAACAAGGUAACAUCAGCAGCAGGGAGAAACUUAACCACAAACAGUAGAACAAUAAAGGGAAACAUGGAUAGAAACGAAGAUAACCAAGUAAAUUAACACCAACAUAGCUGGGAGAUAGACAAGAAAAAUGCACUCAAAUAAGAAAGGCGAUCUGAACUCAAUAAAUCAUAUCAUAUCUGAUGCAUAAUUCCAGCCAUCUCAAACUUGAUGUCUCAUAUCAUAACCUCAACUACCAAACCUUUAGCACACCCGGUACCUCGUGCCCACUUAUUUCUAUCUCACUUUGCGCAACAACGCUCUCAUGCUACUCAGUACAUAGGGUCCAUAACUAAUGCAAUUAAGAUGUUCGAGAAGUCUCAUUUACAUAACUUAAAGUAGAGUACAGUUUAUAAACCAACUAGGAGCUCAACAAGAAAAGACGAAGUUAUUAUUAGAAAUCAUUUGAAUAAAGAAGGUACCAUUUUCAAUUAAAAUACAACAUCGGAUGAUUAUCACCUUUAACAAGGGAUUUAAUAAAUUAACUAAGUAGAAAUUCCUUUUUUAGUAAAAUACAACAUCAAACCGUUUAAGGAAAAUUUAAUUGAGAAAUUAAUUGGGUUAAAAACAUAACAAUUGUUGAAAUUUGAUGUAUUGAAAUAUAUAUAAAAAUAAGGCGACGUAUUGUAAACAAUAUGGAUUCCAAGACAAAGGAUCAUAGAAGUAAAGGAAUCUAAACCGUUAAAUAACAACAAUUACAACAGAGACAAAAUAAUCACAAAAGGAGUAUAACUCAAUGCAAAGAUAACAAACGGGGAUCUCCCAAGAUACCGUCAUGUAGUCCCAAAUGUAAAUACUCGGGGAUCUCUCAGUAUCCUCCGUAUAUGAGCUAGGGAUCUCUUGGUAUCCCGAGGAUCUCUUGGUAUCCUCAAUAUAUGUGCUGGGGAUCUCUUGGUAUCCCGAGGAUCUCUUGGUAUCCUCAAUAUAUGUGAUGCGGAUCUCUUGGUAUCCUGAUAAUCUCUUGGUAUCCUCAAUUUAUGUGCUGGGGAUCUCUUGGUAUCCUCAAUAUAUGUGCUGGGGAUCUCUUGUAUCCCGAGGAUAUCUUGAGGAUAUAAGUGUUGGGGAUCUCUUGGUAUCCCAAGGAUCUCUUAGUAUCCUCAACAUAAAAGUGCAGGGGGAUCUCCCGGGAUAUCGUCCCAUAGUCCCAAAGUAAACAUAUAGGGGGAUCUCCCGGGAUACCGUCCCGUAAUCCCAAAGUAAAAGCACAACAGUAAUACGAAGAAUACAAAAAAACAAUCCAACAACCCAAUCACAAGGAAUUCCACCACCAAGAGUAUGAAUACACGACAAUAAGAGAAUCACUGGAAAACCAAGAAGCACAAUAACCUUGACAAAACAACAAGACAUAAUAGGCAUAUGAUAACUACACCGACAACCACAACAAUUUGGACACCUAGCAUAUAUACACGGGGUCAUAGAAGAAUUCACAAUUUAGAGAUAACAAAACGAUAAGAAGAACAAUCGCUUCAGUUAAGGCAAAAAGGCCACGUAACAAGUAAGAGUUAGAGGGAAGCUAACAACAUCGUAUGGAGCAUAUAGAUGUAAAUUAAGCAAUUAGGAAACUUAAUCAUAACGGAAUACUUCCCACAUAAUGAACAUAAGGGCCUAAGAAACCUAAAGGCAAAUUUCCCACAAAUAAGUCUGAGCACACACUCGUCACCUCGCGUGCACAGACUACAAAUAGCAUAGAAGACUCAAAUCCUAAGGGAAAGUCCCCCACACAAGGUUAGGCAAGAUACUUACCUUGAACCAAGGUCAAAUCAAAUCCAAAAUCACGCUCUUGCCACGAGUAUCCAACUCCGGGUGGCCCAAAUCUAGUCAAAUCAAUUACAUAACGUAAAUAUAACUAUAAACAACUAAUUUAGCUAAUGAAAUCGAAGCUAAUACAAGAAAAUAGAAAAAUGUCCAAAAAUCCCCAUUGGGGUCGUAUCUCGGAACUCGACAAAAAUCACGGAAUAUGAACCCCCAUCCAACCACGAGUCCAACCAUACCAAUUUUGCUAAAUUCUGACAUCAACUCGACCCUCAAAUUUUCAACUAAAGUCUUGGAAGAUUUCUGCCAUUUUCAACCCAAAAAUGAGUAAUCUAGUCGGAAUAUUCGAUGAUAAUCCCAUACGAUUGACUAACAAUAACCACAAGUGACUUAUCUCAAGUUUCCCAUAAAUUCUUGCUCAAAAAUCAUCCAAAACAAAAUGGAAAACUAGGGUAUAGAACCUUACCUCUUUGAUGAAGAUUUUGUGAUAAUUCCUUGUUAAUCUUCAAAGAUUUGAGUAAGAAUUGAAGAAUGAUUUGAUGAAGAUCACUUUCUCACUCUACGGAUCCCUCUCUCGCUCUAAAGCAUCCGAAUUUUGCUCAAAAAUGAUCCAAAAUAAACCCCAAAGCCUAUUUAUCAAAAUGAGGUCGGGUUAUUAAAAUAGAAAAAUUAACCCUCCGAAAUCAGGUAUGCGAUCUCAUAAUCCAUCGUAUAAUGGGUAUGCAGGUCACAGAUGCGUCGUGAAACUCGGUGCCUAGAACUGGGCUGUUCUGCUUCAUUCUGCGGCCAUUUUGUGAUUGCAUAAUGAUUUUGCGGUUCGCAUAGUUAUUUUGCGAUCGCACAUUUGACCGCAGAAUCGCAUUUUUUCAGCUUUUGGUAAUUUGGUCAUAACUUUGUGUAGGAAUGUCCAAAUGACAAACGGUUUGAAGAGUUGGAAACUAGACUCAGAGAUCUUUAAUUAGAUAGGUUGUACAUCACAUUUCACCUUAUAUACAUGUAUAUAUGCUCAUCCAAAGUAGGCUCUUGUGCGCAUUCUCUUAAAUUUUUAGCAUAUUAUGAAAUUUUCCAACUUGGCUUAGUAUUAGGACUUUACUUAGACCCCAUAUAUCUUAUAAUAUGCCUUGUACACUUAUUAUCAUAUACAAUUGGUAUCCAACAUGUUAAUAGACCCCUUCCGCACGUAAAAUAAUAUAAUUAGAACACAUCAACUUUCUUAUUUCGCCAAAAUGCGCCUAAUUGUCCUACAGACUUCCAUAUCCAAAUACGGACACACGUAUAAGUCCGAAAUCUCCAUACGAAGCUAUUGGCAUCAUUAAAAAUUCAUUCCGAGGUCGUUUGCUCAAAAGUCAACUCUUCGGUCAACUUUUUCCAUUUGAACUUCAAAAUAAGAAUUUGUUUUUCUUUAAAUUUAACUCUGAAUCUUACGAAAACCAAAUUCGACCAUACAGGCGGGUCAUAAUGCAUAUUACAAAGCUUCUCAAGGUCUUAAGCUGUUGAACGAGACGCUAAUUCUUAAAAUAAUAGGUCGGGUCGUUACACAUUUAACUUCACAAUAUUGAUUCACAACUAGAGUCAAUACUCAACAAAUAUCUAAUACCUGGAAAACAUAAUAAGACUUGUUUAACAUGAUGAAUAACCAGUUUAAGCACGAACAAUACGUAUAAAGAAACAUAACAGUCACAAGUAUAAGAUUCACUUGCAUGCGAUGACCCGACAACAACGUAUAGAUACUCGUCACCUCACCUAUAUAUCGUACUCAACAACUAAACAUGUAGCAAAUAAGGCAACAAUACCUAAUACCUCAAGCUAAGGUUAGCCACAACACUUACCUCGAUUCCACGGCCAAACUCAAGCCUCAAUUACCGCUUUUUCCUCAAGAUUCCACCCCCAAUCCACUUGUAUCUAAUCAUAAUUAACUUAGUAAUAACAAUUAUCGCUAAAGAAAUCAAUUCCAUUGCAUAAUUACAAUUUCCCAACAUUUUUCCCAAAAAGUCGAAAACCAACCCCGGGCCCGCUUGGUCAAAACUCAAAGUUCAGAUCAAAACCCGAUUACCCAUUCACCCCUGAGCCUGGAUAUACAAUUGGUUUUGGAAUCUGACCUCAAUUUGAUGUCUAAAUCCCCAAAUUUUGAAAUUCCUAAAUUCUACCGGAAACACCCAAUUCCACCAUGAAAACCCUAGAUUUUGUGAUAAAAAUUUGUAAAAAGAUGAAAUAGAUUGAAAGAAAUGAGUUAAGAAUCAUUUACCUAUGAUUUGGGGAAGAAAUGGUCUUUGGAAAAUCGCCUCUUGAAGUUUAGGGUUUGAAAAUUUGAGAAAUGAAUCCAAAAUCCCGUCCAAAACUCAUUUUGAAUAGUUGCAGUUAUCGCAUUUGCGAUCACAGAUUCUCAAAUGCGAACUCGCAAAUGCGGACAUUACUUUGCUAAUGCGAAGGUUGUCCUGGCCUGUUGGUGUCGCAAAUGGGAACAAAUAUUCGCAAAUGUGGCCCCUGUUCUAGUCGCAAUUGCGACGAUGAGCUUCUCAAUUGCAAAGGUCCCCUCCCAGCCUACUGAUCCCAAAUGCGAAGAUUCUUCGCAAAUGCAAUGCUUGCAUAUUCGAGCCAGACUUCGCAUUAGACCUGCAACAUACCAGAAAAUUUUCCUAAAGUCCAAAAUCAUUCCGUAGCCUAUCCAAAACUCACCCGAGCCCUCGGGCUCCAAACCAACCAUGUACACAAGUCUUAAUACAUCAUACGAACUUGCUCAUGCGACCAAAUCCCCAAAAUAACACAUAUAACUAUGAAUUCAACACCAAAACACAUAAAAAUUUUAAGAUAGUUUGAAACUUCCUAUUUUCUCAACCAUAGGUUCGAAUCACGUCAAAUCACUUCCAUUUUUUCUCAAAAUUUUACAGAUAAUUUUAAAUAUUAUGACGGACCUGUACCGGGCUCCGAAACCAAAAUACGGGCCGGAUAAUAACAAGUUCAAAUAUUAUUCAAUUUCCAUAAACUAUUAUAUUUCCAGUUUAACAAUUUUCUUUAAAAAUUUAUUUCUCGGGCCAGGGACCUCAGAAUUCAAUUCCGGACAUAUGCCCAAGUCCCAUAUUUUACUAUGGACCCUCCAGGACCAUCAAAUCACGGGUCCAGGUUCGUUUGCCCAAAAUGUUGACCAAAGUCAACUUGAAUCAAUUUUAAAGGCAAAACUCAAUAUUUUUCUCAAAUUUUCAUAUAAGGGCUUUUCGAAAGCACGCCCGGACUGCACACGCAAAUCGAGGAAAAAAUAAGGUUUUCAAGGCCUUGGAACACAAAAUCGGAUUCUAAAACAAAAGAUGACCCUUUGGGUCAUCACAUUCUCCACCACUAAAUCAACCGUUCAUCCUCGAAUGGACAUAGAAUAAUGCUUGAGUCGGUGAAAAUAUGGGAAUAUCUGCUCCUCAUAUCGGACUCGGACUCCCAGGUAGCUCCCUCAAUAGGAUUACCUCUCCAAUGCACACGAAUCGAAGGGUAACUCUUCGAUCUCAACUGGCAAACCUGUUUGUCUAAAAUGGCUACCGACUCCUCCUCCCAAGCUAAAUCCUUGUCCAGCUGGACAGUGCUUAAAUCUAAUACGUGGAAUGCAUCGUCGUGAUACUUCCGAAGCAUGGACACGUGAAACACUGGAUGCACAACUGAUAAACCUGGCGGCAACGCAAGUCUGUAAGCCACCUCUCCCACUCGAUCAAGGAUCUCAAAAGGCCUGAUGUACCUAGGGCUUAGCUUUCCCUUCUUCGCAAAACUCAUCACGCCUUUCAUGGGCGACACCCGAAGCAACACUCUCUCUCUGACCAUGAAUGCUACGUGACGAACCUUAUGGUCGGCAUAACUCUUUUGCCUGGAUUGAGCUGCACAAAGUCUAUCCUGAAUGAUCUUAACCUUAUCCAAGGCAUCCUGUACUAAAUCUGUACCUAACAACUGAGCCUCUCCCGACUCAAACCAUCCCACCGGCGAUCGAUACUGUCUACCAUACAACGCCUCAUAGAGAGCCAUCUGGAUGCUCGAUUGAUAAUUGUUGUUGUAGACAAACUCCGCUAAUGGCAAGAACUGAUCCCAAGAACCUCCAAAGUCAAUAACACAGGCGCGGAGCAUAUCCUCCAAAAUCUGAGUAGUACGCUCGGACUAUUUGUCCGUCCGAGAAUGAAAUGCUGUGCUCGACUCAACCUACUUACCCAACUCAUGCUGAACUUGCCUCCAGAAAUACGAGGUAAACUGCAUACCUCGAUCAGAAAUGAUAGUCACGGGCACACCAUGGAGACAAAUGAUCUCAUGGAUAUAAACCUCUACCAAUCACUCAUAAGAAUAUAAAACUGCCACAUGAAUGAAAUACGCUGACUUGGUCAUCCUAUCCACAAUAAUCCAUACUGCAUCGAACUUUUUCUGAGUCUAGGGAGUCCAACAACGAAAUCCAUAGUGAUAUGCUCCCACUUCCACUCAGGGAUCUCAAUCUUCUGAAGUAAACCACCAGGUCUAUGCUCGUACUUUACCUGUUGACAAUUCAAACUCCGAGCUACAUACGCAACAAUAUCAUUCUUCCUCCUCCUCCACCAAUAAUGCUGCCGUAAGUCCUGAAACAUCUUGUCGGCGCUCGAAUGAAUAGAGUAUUGGUAUUUUGGACCUCCUCUAGAAUCAACUCACGAAGUCCAUCCACAUUGGGCACGCAAAUACGACCGUACAUCCUCAAAACUUCAUCAUCUCCAACUAUAACCUGCUUGGAAUCUACGUGCCGCAUUGUGUCCCUAAGGACAAGUAGAUGAGGGUCAUCACACUGCCGAUCUUUGAUAUGCUCAAAUAAUGAAGACAGAGUGACUGUACAAACUAGAACACGACUAGGCUCCGAAACAUCCAGCCUCACGAACUGAUUGGCCAAAGCCUGAACAUCUAAAACAAGCGGUCUCUCACUGACUAGAAUAUACUCAAGGCUACCCAUAUUAGCCGACUUCCUACUCAAAGCAUCAGCCACUACAUUGGCCUUCCCGGGAUGAUACAAGAUGGUGAUAUCAUAGUCUUUCAAUAGCUCCAACCACCUCCUCUUCCUUAAAUUUAACUCUUUCUUCUUGAACAAGUAUUGCAAACUCUUGUGAUCCAUGAACACCUCACACGACACGCCAUAUAAAUAAUGCCUCCAAAUCUUCAGCGUGUGAACAAUGGUUGCUAGCUCCAAAUCAUGAACCAGAUAGUUCUUCUCAUGAAUCUUCAACUGCCGUGAAGCAUAUGCAAUAACCUUUCCAUUCUGCAUCAAUACCACACCAAGUCCAAUACGAGAUGCGUCAUAAUACACUGUAUAUGGCCCUGAACCUGUAGGCAACACCAACACCAAUGCCGUAGUCAAAGUUGUCUUAAGCUUCUGAAAGCUCGCCUCACACUCAUCCGACCAUCUGAAUGAGCAACACUUCUGGGUCAACUUGGUUAUCGGGGCUGCUAUGGAUGAAAACCCCUCCACAAACCGAAGGUAGUAACCCCCCAAGCCCAAGAAACUCCGGAUCUCUGUAGCUGAUGUGGGUCUAGGCCAAUCCUUAACUGCCUCAAUCUUCUUAGGAUCCACCUGAAUACCCUCUACUGAUACAACGUGACCCAAGAAAGCAAUUGAACUCAACCAAAAUUCACACUUUUAAAACUUAGCAUAUAAUUGGCUGUCUCUUAGAGUCUGAAGAAUGACUCGAAGAUGCUGCUCAUGCUCCUCUUGGGUGCGGGAGUAGAUCAAGAUAUCAUCAAUAAAUACAAUCACUAAGGAAUCCGAAUAGGGAUUGAACACUCGGUUCAUCAAAUUCAUGAACGCUAUUGGGGAAUUUGUCAAACCAAAUGACAUCACUAGAAAAUCAUAAUGCCUGUACCGAGUCCAAAAAGCUGUCUUAAGGACAUCGGAUGCCCUAAUCCUAAACUGAUGGUAGCCAGACCUCAAAUCAAUCUUUGAAAACACCUUGGCAUCCUGAAGCUGAUCAAAUAAAUCAUCGAUCCUCGGCAAUGAAUACUUGUUCUUAAUGGUGACUUUGUUCAACUGCCGAUAGUCUAUGCACAUCCUCAUUGACCCAACCUUCAUCUUAACAAACAACAUCGGCACACCCCAGGGCGAGACACUAGGUCUAAUAAAGCCCUUGUCAAGCAAAUUUUGCAACUGUUCCUUAAAUUCUUUCAACUCUAGCGGGACCAUGCGGUACAACGGAAUAGAAAUGGGCUAAGUGCCCGGAGCCAAAUCAAUACAAAAGUCCAUAUCCCUAUCGGGUGGCAUCCCAUGCAGGUUUGCAAGAAAUACCUCAGGAAACUCACGAACUACUGGUACGGAAUCCAUGGAAGGAACCUCUGCAUUGGAAUCACGAGCAUAAGACAAAUAAGCCAAACACCCAUUCUCCACCAUACGCCAAGCCUUCACAUAAGAAAUGACCUUACUGGUAGAAUGACCAGGAGUCCCUCUCCACUCCAAUCAAGACAACCCCGGCAAGGCUAAGGUCAUGGUGUUGGCGUGACAGUCCAGUAUAGCAUGAUAAGGUGACAGCCAAUCCAUCCUCAAAUGACAUCAAAGUCGACCAUAUCAAGAAGUAGGAGAUCUACACGGGUCUCAAGACCCCCAAUAAUAACCACACACGAGCUAUAGACACGAUCUACAAUAAUAAAAUCACCCACCGAUGUGGACACAUAUACCGGAGCACUCAAAGAAUCACGAGGCACAACCAAAUACGUAAAAAAAUAAGAUGACACAUAAUAGUAUGUAGACCCUGGAUCAAAUAGAACUGAAGCAUCUCUACUGCAAAUUGAAACUGUACCGGUGAUAAUGGCAUCGGAUGCCUCAGCCUCGAGCCUGGCUGGGAAAGGAUAGCAUUGGGGUUGGGCCCUACCAUUCUGAAUUACAUCCCUGGGACAGCCUCCUGCCGGCUGGCCUCUGUCACACCUCCUUUUUACCUACACCCGGAAGGGUGUAAGGGAGUUUUUCCAAUUAAAGUGACAAUCGAAACGGGAUUAUUUUAUUUAAAAAUUCAAAGUCCCCACUUGGGAUAAUUUAUGGUGUCCCAAGUCACCGAUUUAGAAUCCCGAAUCGAGGAAAUAUUGACUCUGUUUUUCAGUCUGCGAACAUAGAAAUCCGGGUAAGGGAUUCUGUUAACCCGGGAGAAAGUGUUAGGCAUUCCCGAGUUCCAUGGUUUUAGCACGGUCGCUCAACUAUUAUUACUGGCCUAAUUAUCUGAUUUUAAAAACACUUUUAAACCUAUGGUGCAAUUUUAACUUAUUAACCACUUUUAAUUAAUUUUAGGAAGAUUCAACGUUAUCUAAAACACGUCUUGAACCACGCCAUAUGAAAUGCACCCACGGUCUGCAACAUAUUUUAUUUAACGUUGUUGAGAUUUGAAUUUGGGUCACAUAAAUGCACACCCGAGUUUAGGAAAUUAAUUUUUAAAUAGCAUGUCUAUAGCAACUAUGCUCUUUCAACUUUGCGAGGUCCAUGAAAAUUCAACUAAAUGGCACGCCUCGAUUUCUAAGGAUUAAAAAUUAAUUCAAUGAGGGCCAUGCAUUUGAGAUUUUUGUUUGGCACGACACACCUCAAAUUAUUUCAAAGUGGUUUUAUUAUCCGAAAUUGUUAUGAUUAGGUCACAUGAAAUGCACCCCCGAAUUUUGAAAUUAUAAAUCACAACUACGUCACGGGAACCAUACCAGUAGCCAUGAUAAUUUAAUUAUGUGCCUAAAGCAAACUAUGAUGAUUUCUGAUUAUUUUUCCUAAAAAUAGAUUAACCUUUCAUUCAAACAAGAUCCAAUUUCAAAUUUAAUGUCUUCAACAUAAUUGGCAUGAACUUAAAUAAUCAGAAUACUCCAAGUUUAAUCACGAUUCACUCAAAACGCAAAAUUAGCAUCACAUGGACUAACUUUUUUUUCGUCAAUCUGGGAACAUAAAACUUAAACUCAAUAGCAUAGACUAAAACGAUAUGUGAUACUACCAACUAUAUUUCUGAGUUGUAUAUCAUAUGCUUAUUUGGCUCACUUUUCUUUGCUAUAAAAAUACACUAAUUAAAGCACUAUCUUUUCCAGUUCAGCCACAUCAAUUUUUUUGCCAAUUCAAUCAGUUUCUUUUAAUGGCCCUCCAAAUACCUAUACUGCCUUAUAGGAAAGGAAAAUAAUUUUUUAUGAGUCAUGGAAAUCAUUGUGAAGUACAACUGAUACGUUCUAUUAUAAAUUUCACAUCGCUAUUGCAAAUUAAACAUAAUAUCAACCCAAGGUCUCCAUGAAUCAGAUUCAAUACCAAAUAAAGCAAUUAACAUAUCUCAAAUUAGAGAGGCGUGAGUGGACCUUUGAUGUUUAACUCGACCAAACAAAAGCCUUCAAUCAGAGACGAAAACUUAAUCAGCAGAACAAAACGAUAAUAGGACAACGCCGCCGAUCACAAACGGAACUUCGAACAGAACCUCACAUUCAUAACAUUGUAAUAACAUUGUAAUAUAACCAGAAUAAUAUGAAAGAAGUAAUCUUACCACCAAAAAUGGAAACCUCGAACCAGACCAGAAAACCUGCCGGAGCCGCGACAAAACUCCACAACGGGCCUCGUCGGAACCACGGACAGAACCUCAUCGUGAACUCAACCCGACUCAAACUCUGAACUCGCCGGAUUCCAGGGUUUUAAAUUGACAAUCAGAAGAAGAAACUAACAUUUGAAACAAAAAUCAAAGGACUUGAAUGCGAAGUCUGUCCUCCGUUUUUGUCGUUCGUCCCUUCACCACAAAAUCCCCAAAUUUCUUUUGCUAUGUCACUAUGUGUUUAUAUGAAGAAUCCCCAAUUGAAUAAAGUGUUUUUUGUUUGAGAAGAAAAUUUCAAAUGUAUGGCUGCUAUGAUAUUUGAAGAAGGAGGUGCCUCCUUUAUCCCUAAGUCAGCUUUUUAGUCUUUUCUUGGCAUUUCAGCUGAUGCAUUUUUGGGAGUCGACCAUGGGAACGACGGAUUCCAUUUUUGCAGAGUGUUUUUUUUGGCCUCCUCCUUAUAUUUUAUGUGUAGGUCCUAUUAUAUAGGGGUAGGG
RNAcentral lists this long non-coding RNA (11408 nucleotides) under Nicotiana tabacum (common tobacco). Its description in RNAcentral is "long non-coding RNA (NTAB_LNC012563)". Lineage: Eukaryota; Viridiplantae; Streptophyta; Magnoliopsida; Solanales; Solanaceae. The record is from RNAcentral.